Molecule: long non-coding RNA, 222 nt
Filed under: Aquilegia coerulea
Lineage: Eukaryota; Viridiplantae; Streptophyta; Magnoliopsida; Ranunculales; Ranunculaceae
Description: long non-coding RNA (ACOE_LNC000594)
Source: RNAcentral
AAACCCCAUGUGUUUGUGCGUUUAUUUGUGAAUACCCCACUAAAGAUUUUUAUUUUGUCUUAGCACUAGGAAGUUAACGAUUCUGUCAAAAACCUGUUAGCAGAAUGUGACGUGGAUUAUUUAAUAAUAAAUGAAUCUGAUGUGGUGUAAACUUAAAUAAGAGUACACGUGUUAUAAUCUGGUUGAACAGAUGUGAUUAAAUCCGACGGCUAUGAUAUGUAC